Molecule: RNA transcript, 921 nt
Organism: Solanum dulcamara
Lineage: Eukaryota; Viridiplantae; Streptophyta; Magnoliopsida; Solanales; Solanaceae
Gene name: alpha N-terminal protein methyltransferase 1-like
Exons: 6
Source: RefSeq, a predicted model, not a curated record
AUCAAUUGACACAAGUAAUUUUGUAGAUUUGAAUAUAGAUUUUCCAUAUCGGCACCCUAUUGUUCCUACUAGCCGACCAAGCUUUUGUAAUAUAGGGUCUCAGUUUUGUAGCGCCGAAAUCAGCAGCAAGGAGAGCGUUUCCCAAAUGGAAAUCGGCGGAUUAGACUCAGACGGCCGUACGUUUAGAAACGCGGAGGAGAUGUGGAGAGAAGUAGGGGAUGGUGACCCCCAGAAGAAGUUCCAGUGGUACAACAAAGGCAUCAAUUACUGGGAAGGCGUGGAAGCCACAGUGGAUGGAGUGCUCGGUGGAUACGGGCAUGUGAAUACGCCCGAUAUAAAGGCAAGUGAGGAUUUUCUCAACACCAUUUUGGCCGAAAGGUUCCCUGAUGCUGGAACAGGCCACCGUCUUGUAGCUCUCGAUUGUGGAUCUGGCAUUGGAAGGGUUACUAAGAAUCUUCUUAUACGAUAUUUCAAUGAGGUUGACCUCCUAGAACCUGUAUCACAUUUUUUGGAAUCUGCUCAGGUAAAUUUGGCUCCUGAAAAUUAAAUGGUGUCAAAGUUGCACAAAGCUGCCAACUUUUAUUGUGUCCCACUUCAGGGAAUUCACACCUGAUGCUGAAAGAUAUGAUGUUAUUUGGGUUCAGUGGUGCAUUGGGCAUCUUGCAGAUGAUGACUUCAUUGCAUUCUUCAAGAGAGCAAAGAAAAACAGGUAGAUUCUUCGGAGACUUAGUUGUUAGUGGACUGGUGUAUUUAGUUGGAAUAUGAAACCAGAAUCUUUCUGUAAUCAUAUAUUGUCAUAGUUAUGCCUGGGAUAGAGAAUAAAGAGUAGCUUCUUCUGUGUUGCAAACACCAUACAUCUGUUAUGACAGGCAUAAUUGACCUGUAUCAACAUUGAAAUGAAAAAACAUUCUUUGGGUGUAA